Long non-coding RNA from Notolabrus celidotus (New Zealand spotty), 719 nucleotides. RefSeq lists it as uncharacterized. The transcript has 2 exons. The record is from RefSeq and is a predicted model, not a curated record. Lineage: Eukaryota; Metazoa; Chordata; Actinopteri; Labriformes; Labridae.
UCACUCUGGAACCAAUAACUGAGAGGUAAGCAGUGAUGUGCAUAUUAUUUUGCAACAAAGGACACAGUGAGCUCCAUAACAGAGGUAGAGUCCUGCAGCCACCGCCGGGUGGAGCUGCUGUUGUCUCUCUUUAAACUUAGAGAGAAAUCGUGCGCAUCUUAAGAGAUGGAUGUGUAGCACUAGAGGAAGAGGAAGGGGGUGUAGUGUGGUCAUCUUAGGUUGUGGAGGGCAAGUCCUGCAUAUACAGUGACUGUUUGGGUUGUUACUGUAUGCUUCCAGAGUAGUUUAUAGUAAAUGAAAGAAACAUAUCUUUCUACCUCUAUUCGUUCUGCACUCUUAACCAACACACUGCACUGUUGUUUUCCGAUUGUCACACAUCAUAAAGACCUCAAGGAUGCUACCUCCCUUAUUAUUGUUUACAGGAAUAAACCAAGUCACAGUAACACACAUUAUUUGUGUUUGGAAGUGGGUAACGUGAGAGAAAGGAUGAGACAGAGAAGCAUCUGCAGGCUGAAGUUCCCCUCAGGUCACAGUGACACAGAAACUCCUUCAUGACCCAGUAAUGCUGCGAUGUUUUCACAUUUCAGGCUGCAGAUAAGAUGUAAGAUUUGUUAAGUGUUCAGCUCAGUUGUGACUGUGUUUAUUGAAUUUUCUCUGUCCCCGUUACUGGCCCUGCUGUUCCUUUUAUGCAAUGACAUAAUAAAAGGUGUCGCACUUUU